AGAAAAGUAACUUUGAUAGGCCCUAACAUCAGCAUUUCCAAGAUGAGGAAGCCAAAGUUCACAACAAAAGAACAGCCGGCAUUACUUCCUAUUUGAAGAAACCCUACUACAGGCUCCUGAGUCAGAGUUUAUCUGGAUAGAGAUCCCAGAAAGCACUGGUGGGGAUGACGCAAAGUGAGUUGGGGAAUGGAAGGAAGACAACGAAAGGAAGCAGGAAAGAAGAAACUGCUGGUAUUGUCUUAGCUGCUCAACCAUGCCAGCACUUGGGCACCGCCCUGCACCUUUGCUUCACGGACUCAGGAUUGCUGAUGCUUCUUCAGGCAGGAAGAACGAUGGGGGUGGGGAGAAGGCAGAGGUGGUGGUGGUGGUUGUGCCAAUAGUAACCAUUUUCUUUUCACAAGAAAAACAAACAGUUUUCCAAGAGCCCCGAGCGCACUUCUGCUCACAGUGAUCAGCCAUGUGUGUCCUGCCUGAUGAUAAGGGAGGUUGGGGUUGCCAUCACUCCCAUUUUCAACCUCAAUAGUGAAGCCAAUAGCGGAGAUUGUGUGGAGUCAAUCACCCACAAAUCUCUGCUACAAAUAAAAAU
Molecule: long non-coding RNA, 586 nt
Organism: Canis lupus familiaris (dog)
Lineage: Eukaryota; Metazoa; Chordata; Mammalia; Carnivora; Canidae
Exons: 3
Source: RefSeq, a predicted model, not a curated record